CGACUCUGGUCUUUCUCUCAUUACGCACAAGCCUUUCGCCUUUACUAAAGACGUCCGUGGAGAGGGAACACUUAUGAGUUCCAAGUAUUUUUGGAAGGGCUUUGGCUUCUGGCAGAGCC
Small nuclear RNA from Salvelinus sp. IW2-2015, 119 nucleotides. RefSeq annotates it as U5 spliceosomal RNA. Lineage: Eukaryota; Metazoa; Chordata; Actinopteri; Salmoniformes; Salmonidae. The transcript has a single exon. The record is from RefSeq and is a predicted model, not a curated record.